Molecule: ribosomal RNA, 494 nt
Filed under: uncultured bacterium
Lineage: Bacteria
Description: partial 16S ribosomal RNA
Rfam family: Bacterial small subunit ribosomal RNA
Source: RNAcentral
GACGAACGCUGGCGGCGCGCUUAACACAUGCAAGUCGAACGGAAAGGCCUGCUUUCCCUUGUGGAUUGCGGGUACUCGAGUGGCGAACGGGUGAGUAACACGUGAGUGAUCUGCCCCCAACUUGGGUAUAAGCCUGGGAAACUGGGUCUAAUUCCCGAUAGGACUGCAGGGUGGUGCCUGUGGUGGAAAACGAUUUUCUAGUGGUUGGGGAUGAGCUCGCGGCCUAUCAGCUUGUUGGUGGGGUAAUGGCCUACCAAGGCGGCGACGGGUAGCCGGCCUGAGAGGGUGGACGGCCACAUUGGGACUGAGAUACGGCCCAGACUCCUACGGGAGGCAGCAGUGGGGAAUAUUGCCAAAUGGGCGGAAGCCUGAUGCAGCGACGCCGCGUGGGGGAUGACGGCCUUCGGGUUGUAAACUCCUUUCGACCGCGAGGAAGCCACCUGGUUGGAAGGGUGGUGACGUUAGUGGUAGAAGAAGCACCGGCUAACUACGUG